Molecule: non-coding RNA, 75 nt
Organism: Desmophyllum pertusum
Lineage: Eukaryota; Metazoa; Cnidaria; Anthozoa; Scleractinia; Caryophylliidae
Source: the annotation of a GenBank genome assembly
GGCUUCAUAGCCUCAGUUGGUAGAGCAACGCACUAGUAACACGGAGGUCAUGGGUUCAAAUCCCAUUUGAAGCCA